RNAcentral lists this ribosomal RNA (497 nucleotides) under uncultured bacterium. RNAcentral describes it as "partial 16S ribosomal RNA". It matches the Rfam family "Bacterial small subunit ribosomal RNA", at positions 28 to 507 of the family's 1533-position model. The record is from RNAcentral.
GAUGAACGCUGGCGGCGUGCCUAAUACAUGCAAGUCGAGCGAACAGACGAGGAGCUUGCUCCUCUGACGUUAGCGGCGGACGGGUGAGUAACACGUGGAUAACCUACCUAUAAGACUGGGAUAACUUCGGGAAACCGGAGCUAAUACCGGAUAAUAUAUUGAACCGCAUGGUUCAAUAGUGAAAGACGGUUUUGCUGUCACUUAUAGAUGGAUCCGCGCCGCAUUAGCUAGUUGGUAAGGUAACGGCUUACCAAGGCAACGAUGCGUAGCCGACCUGAGAGGGUGAUCGGCCACACUGGAACUGAGACACGGUCCAGACUCCUACGGGAGGCAGCAGUAGGGAAUAUUACGCAAUGGGCGAAAGCUUGACGGAGCAACGACGCGUGAGUGAUGAAGGUCUUCGGAUCGUAAAACUCUGUUAUUAGGGAAGAACAAAUGUGUAAGUAACUAUGCACGUCUUGACGGUACCUAAUCAGAAAGCCACGGCUAACUACGUG